UGUUGGCAUAAGUCUUCAUCACUGCUGAAGUUGAAGCUUGAAAAACUUGUUUCAAGAUGUAUGAAAGUUAACUAAAAUAUUUCAUUCUACCACAGCAUUCAUCUCAAAAUAAUGACAGUCCCAAGGGACAGAAAUCAUGACCUGACACCAUCUGCAGCUGCACAGCCAAUAUCUGUGUUAUUUAUUCAGUCUGGAAAACCUCCCUGAAAGAACAGGAUCAGAGGGCAGUUCAUAGAAGAGCAGAUGCCAAGAGAUGGGAGGUUGAGCCCUGAACCCAACUCAUCACUUAAUUUUCUACUAAAGCUUCUCAGAUUCCCAGAGGCUAAGGACAAAGCCCUAGCUGCUAUGGGAUUUGUUGGGAAUAGAAAACAAAAAAACAGAGGAAAAGAGAGAGAAAAGGAGAGAGAAAACAAUAUAGAUAAACUAUUGCCCAGCAAUCUCUCCUGAAUAAAGACUUCAAUCUGAAUCUUUCGGUUGCGCAAAUGUGAUCACAGGGUGUUUUUUUGGCUCCUAUACUCAGCAGUUAAUAAUUCCCUUACUUUUUACUAAAGAAAACAAAAUAAAAAUCCUUUUGUUCAGUAACUGCUGAGUCAUGGCCUGAACCACUGAUUAAGCACCUGGGGAAAGAACCUGUCAGCCAUGGGAGCACAGGUAAAGACAAUUCACCUGUGCAGCCUGGCUGCACCUCUCUUAAACCUCAUUUGAGGGCUCACUACCACUGAGGAAGGGAUUUUGGUUGGAGAUUUCUCUCUCGUGGAGUUUGGAGUUUUCCUGCAAGGCUAGAUCUUUGGAAAUGGGAAUGCUGAAAACAACCCCUUCCAAGCACUGUUCCCUUGGCUAUCCAGCAAACAAGAGAUUUGAAUUGUUUCAUCAUGCUGUUGAAGGCUGAGAAUAUUCUCUGAAGUUACCACAGGCAACAUUUUCAGUACUUACACAGAAAAUAGAUCUGAGUUUUACUUGAAACUUGGGUCAGCCUGAAAAAUGACAGAUCAAGAUAUGUCCAAACUUGUUAUGGCUAUUGCAAGAAAACUGAAAAGAUAAAUUAAAACUUCCAUCCAGUGCUAAUGAAUGUACUGCCUGAAGCCUCUUACAUUUUUCUUAAGCUAAAAUAAUGUUGGUUUUCCUCAAAGGACCAGAGUAAAAUGCAUUUAGUGCCAGGUACAACUGUGAUCUUCACUGAAUAAAAAUUACACUUAUGUGUUCAUGCUUUGUUUCUUCUCUCACGUGUACCCUUACUGAACUACUAUACCUGCUACAGAGAGAAGACAUGCUGUGGUUAUCUGAGCAAUUUAUGUUCUGGGACAUCACCAGUGAACCAGAAAACUGAAGAUAAAAGAGAAGGAAAACCAGAUGUGGAUGAGUGUGUGUUGUAUAUGCAUAAACAGACAUCAAAAUGAAGGUAUGCCAUCACAGAGUUGUAGGGGUUGGAAGGGACCCCUGGAGGUCCUCAAGUCCAACCCCCCUGCUAAAGCAAGUUCCCUACAAUAGAUUGCAUGGGAAGGUGCACAAACAGGUCUUGAAUAUCUCCAGAGAAAGAGACUCCACAACCUCUCUGAGCAGACUGUUCCAGGUCUCUGUCACUAUUAAUAGUUCUCCAAUGGUAAUGUCCAAUGCUGGGUUUAUGCAAAUUUCCCAGCCUCUCAGAAAUAUUUUACUCCAUCCACAUGGCUGUGCCACACAGAACCAGUUAAGGGAUCCUGUUUCAAACUGCUAAUCUCUCUAACCUCAGCAAUAACCUGGUGAUAUACUAUGGUAUGUUCCACCUUGAUGUAUCCUGCAGAUUGACCAUGCAGAACACAAAAACAAAGUUUAAUUUAUUCUGUUUUUAAAACCAUAGUUUUAUUCUUUGUAUGUGAAAACCGUAUGUAGGAGCCCAAUCCUGUCAUUUGACUUACAGGUCUGUCUAGGUAUGCAGUACUGAUCGUUUUAGCCAUAUGUUGACCCUGAACUCCCUGAUUUAGAUCAUAGAUGAUCAGCCUGGACCAGCUCUGAACAUAAAAAUGAGUAGCUCACGCUUACUCAGACGUAUGCCUGAAUCUGGUAAAUAGAAGACCACUGUAGCAGAUAGGUUUUGCCAAGGAAAAGUCUGCAAUACCCUUGGUGUCUCCAGCUGUGAUAUGAAGCAUGAGUAAAGAGAUGUAUCAUAUAGGAAAAAAUAAAAAAAAAUAAAAAAUGGGAAUUUUAUUCAGUUUCUGGUAACUUUGCUGGAUAUUUUGUAACAUUUCAGAUCACAGAAGUAUGUGACUUUUUGGGGAGAGUCAAAAUUCAUCGCAAAGAUAACCAGAAGGGGGGAAAAUGAUUCCAAAUGCUAUUUAGUCUCAGUCCCAUGCUCUUUCUGACAUAAGCUGAGACAUAAACUAAGUGGACCUGUAAUUAAAAUUACUACAGGAGCAAAGCAAACAAACACUGAUGCCUAUUAGAAACAUCCAAUCUUGAUGGAAAAAAAUUGUACUAUGAUAAACAAAACACUUGUGAGUACCUUAAAAACUAAUGACAAAUGCAAGAUUGUAAGGAUCAACAAUAAAAAUCAAAUGAAAAAACCCACCCAAAACUAACGUUCCCUAAAUUAAUGACAAUAUUUAUAGAAUAGAUCUGAGCACAGACCUAAUAUUUAGCUUUAUUUAAAUUUUGGCUCCCAAGAGAAUUAAAAAACCAGCUGGUAUUGUUGAUCUAAUAGCGCCAUGUCGGCUUGAGCAGACAGUGUAAGAACUGUGUGAGGUUCAAUGUCAACAAGCUAUAUACUAGGAAAGAUUGAGUUUACUAUUUUAUUUUAUGUUUAAAUGCUGUGUUGUGAUGAGAGUGGAAUUAGAUGAAAUUCUAGAGCAAAUAUACAGUUUGAAGCUUAAACCCCAAUUUGUUUAGUCCAUUUAAGCAAAAGGAGAAAUAUAUAUCACCCCACUCAUUACCACCAGCUGAAAUGUAUAUUCCAACAUCAACACAGAGAGUCAGCUGGCUUGGCUUCUGGAGCUCAUGAACUAUGUAUGUUCUCAGUAGUUUACUUUGGUUUUCAGAAGAAGUCUGUAAGA
Molecule: long non-coding RNA, 3026 nt
Organism: Coturnix japonica (Japanese quail)
Lineage: Eukaryota; Metazoa; Chordata; Aves; Galliformes; Phasianidae
Source: RefSeq, a predicted model, not a curated record